AGGAUAGAGGCCUACCAUGGUGGUAACGGGUAACGGGGUGUUAGGGCACGACACCGGAGAGGGAGCCUGAGAAACGGCUACCACAUCCAAGGAUGGCAGCAGGCGCGCAAAUUACCCAAUCCCGACACGGGGAGGUAGUGACAAUAAAUAACAAUACGGGGUUCUUUAGGAUCUCGUAAUUGGAAUGAGUACAAUUUAAAUCUCUUAACGAGGAACAAUUGGAGGGCAAGUCUGGUGCCAGCAGUCGCGGUAAUUCCAGCUCCAAUAGCGUAUAUUAAAGUUGUUGCAGUUAAAAAGCUCGUAGUUGAAUUUCGGGGUUAGUAGGUUGGUCAUGCCUCUGGUAUGUACUGGUCUCACUGAUUCCUCCUUCCUUAUGAACCGUAAUGCCAUUAAUUUGGUGUUGCGGGGAAUUUGGACUGUUACUUUGAAAAAAUUAGAGUGUUUAAAGCAAGCUAACGCUUGAAUACAUUAGCAUGGAAUAAUGAAAUAGGACGUUCGAUCUUAUUUUGUUGGUUUCUAGGAUUGACGUAAUGAUUAAUAGGGAUAGUUGGGGGCAUUAGUAUUCAAUUGUCAGAGGUGAAAUUCUUGGAUUUAUUGAAGACUAACUACUGCGAAAGCAUUUGCCAAGGAUGUAUUCAUUAAUCAAGAACGAAAGUUAGGGGAUCGAAGACGAUCAGAUACCGUCGUAGUCUUAACCAUAAACUAUGCCGACUAGGGAUCGGAUGA
RNAcentral lists this ribosomal RNA (726 nucleotides) under uncultured fungus. RNAcentral's name for it is "SSU rRNA". It matches the Rfam family "Eukaryotic small subunit ribosomal RNA", at positions 330 to 1060 of the family's 1831-position model. The record is from RNAcentral. Lineage: Eukaryota; Fungi.